UACGAAGGGGGCUAGCGUUGCUCGGAAUCACUGGGCGUAAAGCGCACGUAGGCGGAUUGCUAAGUCAGGGGUGAAAUCCUGGAGCUCAACUCCAGAACUGCCUUUGAUACUGGCGAUCUUGAGUCCGGGAGAGGUGAGUGGAACUGCGAGUGUAGAGGUGAAAUUCGUAGAUAUUCGCAAGAACACCAGUGGCGAAGGCGGCUCACUGGCCCGGUACUGACGCUGAGGUGCGAAAGCGUGGGGAGCGAUCCGG
RNAcentral lists this ribosomal RNA (253 nucleotides) under uncultured bacterium. RNAcentral's name for it is "partial 16S ribosomal RNA". It matches the Rfam family "Bacterial small subunit ribosomal RNA", at positions 524 to 776 of the family's 1533-position model. The record is from RNAcentral.